CUACGGGGCGCUGCAGUGGGGAAUAUUGCACAAUGGACGAAAGUCUGAUGCAGCAACGCCGCGUGGAGGAUGACACAUUUCGGUGCGUAAACUCCUUUUAUAUAGGAAGAUAAUGACGGUACUAUAUGAAUAAGCACCGGCUAACUCCGUGCCAGCAGCCGCGGUAAUACGGAGGGUGCAAGCGUUACUCGGAAUCACUGGGCGUAAAGAGCGUGUAGGCGGGUAGUUGAGUCAGAAGUGAAAUCCAAUAGCUCAACUAUUGAACUGCUUUUGAAACUGAUUACCUAGAAUAUGGGAGAGGUAGAUGGAAUUUCUGGUGUAGGGGUAAAAUCCGUAGAGAUCAGAAGGAAUACCGAUUGCGAAGGCGAUCUACUGGAACAUUAUUGACGCUGAGACGCGAAAGCGUGGGGAGCAAACAGGAUUAGAUACCCCGGUAGUC
RNAcentral lists this ribosomal RNA (439 nucleotides) under uncultured bacterium. Its description in RNAcentral is "partial 16S ribosomal RNA". It matches the Rfam family "Bacterial small subunit ribosomal RNA", at positions 339 to 795 of the family's 1533-position model. The record is from RNAcentral.